GAUGAACGCUGGCGGCAUGCCUUACACAUGCAAGUCGAACGGCAGCACGGGGGCAACCCUGGUGGCGAGUGGCGAACGGGUGAGUACUGCAUCGGAACGUACCCAGUAGUGGGGGAUAACCAGUCGAAAGAUUGGCUAAUACCGCAUAUUCACUGAGGUGGAAAGCGGGGGAUCGCAAGACCUCGCGCUAUUGGAGCGGCCGAUGUCCGAUUAGGUAGUUGGUGGGGUAAAAGCCUACCAAGCCGACGAUCGGUAACUGGUCUGAGAGGACGACCAGUCACACUGGGACUGAGACACGGCCCAGACUCCUACGGGAGGCAGCAGUGGGGAAUUUUGGACAAUGGGGGCGACCCUGAUCCAGCAAUGCCGCGUGUGUGAAGAAGGCCUUC
This 389-nucleotide ribosomal RNA is filed under the name uncultured bacterium. RNAcentral describes it as "bacterial SSU rRNA". It matches the Rfam family "Bacterial small subunit ribosomal RNA", at positions 28 to 419 of the family's 1533-position model. The record is from RNAcentral.